Molecule: ribosomal RNA, 467 nt
Filed under: uncultured bacterium
Lineage: Bacteria
Description: partial 16S ribosomal RNA
Rfam family: Bacterial small subunit ribosomal RNA
Source: RNAcentral
GACGAACGCUGGCGGCGUGCUUAACACAUGCAAGUCGAACGGAAAGGCCCUGCGUUUGUGGGGUGCUCGAGUGGCGAACGGGGGAGUAACACGUGAGUAACCUGCCCUUGACUGUGGGAUAACUUCAGGAAACUGGGGCUAAUACCGGAUAGGAUCUCCUGCUGCAUGGGGGGGGUUGGAAAGUUUCGGCGGUUGGGGAUGGACUCGCGGCUUAUCAGCUUGUUGGUGGGGUAGUGGCUUACCAAGGCUUUGACGGGUAGCCGGCCUGAGAGGGUGACCGGCCACAUUGGGCCUGAGAUACGGCCCAGACUCCUACGGGAGGCAGCAGUGGGGAAUAGUGCACACUGGGCGGAAGCCUGAUGCAGCAACGCCGCGUGCGGGAUGACGGCCUUCGGGUUGUAAACCGCUUUCGCCUGUGACGAAGCGUGAGUGACGGUAAUGGGUAAAGAAGCACCGGCUACCUCCGU